This 253-nucleotide ribosomal RNA is filed under the name uncultured bacterium. RNAcentral's name for it is "partial 16S ribosomal RNA". It matches the Rfam family "Bacterial small subunit ribosomal RNA", at positions 524 to 776 of the family's 1533-position model. The record is from RNAcentral.
UACGUAGGGUGCAGGCGUUAAUCGGAAUUACUGGGCGUAAAGCGUGCGCAGGCGGUUUGCUAAGACAGGUGUGAAAUCCCCAGGCUUAACCUGGGAACUGCGCUUGUUACUGGCAGGCUUGAGUGUGGCAGAGGGGGGUGGAAUUCCACGUGUAGCAGUGAAAUGCGUAGAGAUGUGGAGGAACACCGAUGGCGAAGGCAGCCCCCUGGGCUAACACUGACGCUCAUGCACGAAAGCGUGGGGAGCAAACAGG